RNAcentral lists this ribosomal RNA (363 nucleotides) under uncultured microorganism. RNAcentral describes it as "bacterial SSU rRNA". It matches the Rfam family "Bacterial small subunit ribosomal RNA", at positions 346 to 692 of the family's 1533-position model. The record is from RNAcentral.
GCGCAGCAGGCGCGAAUAGUCUACAAUGGACGAAAGUCUGAUAGUGCGACGCCGUGUGUGCGAUUAAUUCCUUCGGGAUGUUAAAGCACUUUUCUAUGAGAUAAAAGCUCUUUAGGUUAAUAGCUUAUUGAGGACGGAUAUUAGUUAAUAGGAAUAAGCUCCGGCUAACUCCGUGCCAAGCAGCCGCGGUAAUACGGAAGGAGCGAGCGUUGUCCGGAUUUAACUAGGCGUAAAGGGCUAGUAGGCGACUAAUAAGUUAUAUGUUAAAUCCCACGGCUCAACUGUGGUCCUGCAUGUAAUACUGGUUAGAUAGAGUACUGUAGAGGAAGGCAGAAUUCCGUGGAGUAGCGGUGGAAGUGCGCA